RNAcentral lists this transfer RNA (76 nucleotides) under Calocedrus formosana. RNAcentral describes it as "tRNA-Thr". It matches the Rfam family "tRNA". From Rfam's summary of the family: Transfer RNA (tRNA) molecules are approximately 80 nucleotides in length. Their secondary structure includes four short double-helical elements and three loops (D, anti-codon, and T loops). Lineage: Eukaryota; Viridiplantae; Streptophyta; Pinopsida; Cupressales; Cupressaceae. The record is from RNAcentral.
GCCCUUUUAACUCAGGGAUAGAGUAACGCCAUGCAUGGUAAGGCGUAAGUCAUCGGUUCAAGCCCGAUAAAGGGCU